AUACGGAGGAUGCAAGCGUUAUCCGGAUUUAUUGGGUUUAAAGGGUGCGUAGGCGGUUUGCUAAGCGGGAGGUGAAAUGCCGGCGCUCAACGUCGGAAGUGCCUCCCGAACUGGUGGACUGGAAUGACUCUGCCGUGGGAGGAAUGUGUAGUGUAGCGGUGAAAUGCUUAGAGAUUACACAGAACACCGAUUGCGAAGGCAACUCACGAAGGGGUGAUUGACGCUGAGGCAAGAAAGCGUGGGGAUCAAACAGGAUUAGAUUCCCUGGUAGUCCACGCAAUAAACGAUGAUGGCUAACCGCUGGUUUUUUCGGAUCAGUGGCCAAGCGAAAGCGAUAAGCCAUCCACCUGGGGAGUACGACCGCAAGGUUGAAACUCAAAGGAAUUGACGGGG
RNAcentral lists this ribosomal RNA (393 nucleotides) under uncultured bacterium. RNAcentral's name for it is "partial 16S ribosomal RNA". It matches the Rfam family "Bacterial small subunit ribosomal RNA", at positions 523 to 918 of the family's 1533-position model. The record is from RNAcentral.